GAUGAACGCUGACAGAAUGCUUAACACAUGCAAGUCUUUGGCGAAGCUGUGCUUGCACAGCCUAGCCAAGGCGGACGGGUGAGUAACGCGUAAGGAACUUGCCCUGCAGUCAGGGAUAACAGACGGAAACGACUGAUAAGACCUGGUAAAGUCAGGCGGACUCAUGUCCAGCCUGAUGAAAAGAGAUGCUGCAGGAGAGCCUUGCGUCCUAUUAGCUUGUUGGUGGGGUAACGGCCCACCAAGGCGAUGAUAGGUAGCCGGCCUGAGAGGGUGGACGGCCACAAGGGGACUGAGAUACGGCCCUUACUCCUACGGGAGGCGGCAGUGGGGAAUAUUGGACAAUGGGGGCAACCCUGAUCCAGCAAUUCUGUGUGCACGAUGAAGGUUUUCGGAGUGUAAAGUGCUUUCAGCAGGGAAGAAAAAAAUGACGGUACCUGCAGAAGAAGCGACGGCUAAAUACGUG
RNAcentral lists this ribosomal RNA (463 nucleotides) under uncultured bacterium. RNAcentral's name for it is "partial 16S ribosomal RNA". It matches the Rfam family "Bacterial small subunit ribosomal RNA", at positions 28 to 507 of the family's 1533-position model. The record is from RNAcentral.